Molecule: long non-coding RNA, 956 nt
Organism: Mastomys coucha (southern multimammate mouse)
Lineage: Eukaryota; Metazoa; Chordata; Mammalia; Rodentia; Muridae
Exons: 3
Source: RefSeq, a predicted model, not a curated record
GUUUUUCUAUAGAGUUCCUAUCCCCUUAGGGGCUGCAAUCCUUCCUCUUGUUUUAGUAAAAGAGUCCCAAAGCUCUAUCCACUGUGUGGCUGUGGGUGUUUGCAUCUGUUUCAGUUAGCUGCUGGGUGAAGCCUCUCCCAGCCAUGCUAGACUCCUGUCUGCAGGCAUAACAGAGUAACAUUAAUAGUGUCAUGGAUUAAUGCUUGGCCACGGGAUGGGACUCAAAUUGGGCCAGUUAUUGGUUGGCUGUUCCCUCGGUCUCUACUCCAUCUCCUGUCCCUGCUUUUCUUGCAGACAGGAUAAACUUUGGGUCAGAAGUUUUGUGGGUGGGUUGGUGUUCCUAUCGCUCCACUGGGCUUUCUGCCUGGCUACAGGAGAUGGCCUCUUCAGGUUCCAUAUCCCCAGUGCUGUAAGUCACAGCUAAAGAUAGCACCAUUGAUUCUUAGGAAGUAAUUUUUAAAAUAAAUAGUUGAAAAAAGAAAGAUUCUCUUAACAAUGUAAGAGAUUCCAAGAUUCUAAGAACAAUGUAAAAUACAUUAGGGAUAACUAGAAGUUCCAAGAAUUAGAUGUUAGGUUCAAGAGGUGACACACACUGCCAUCAAAGGCCACAGCUGGGCAACAGGACUGCAUUCUGACUUCCCCCAGCUGUGUGAUGCUUACUAAGCCCAUGGAGCUUCUCUCUGGCCUGUUGCCACCCACCAAGUUCCUGUGGACGAGGGAGAGAACUGUUGAAAAGCUGGCAGUGGAAGACUGUUUCCUUGUGUGCAGAGAAUGUAACGUCAUCUCCGAGUACAAAGGACUCCAGGUUUCCAAGGGAAGAAUGUAUCUUGGGGAGAGUGGGAAUGAAAUGGCUGGAAGCAAGGGGCAAGGGCACAUUUCCUUAUUUUACCUUGAAAUGUGGCCCCAUUUCUGAAGCAGGGCUUGGAAUUUUCAGACUAAUAACAAUGAUUGCUUGG